Long non-coding RNA from Bactrocera oleae (olive fruit fly), 550 nucleotides. RefSeq lists it as uncharacterized. The record is from RefSeq and is a predicted model, not a curated record. NCBI's taxonomy places the organism in Eukaryota, Metazoa, Arthropoda, Insecta, Diptera, Tephritidae.
GUCGGUUUAGUCGUUCUAGAGUUAUAAAUGGUAAAACAAACCUGUCAUUAUAUACUUAGUCCUGCCAAAAGUUCUGUUACAAGUUCAGGCCGAUAUAAAAAUGAAACUAUAAUAAAUUUCUUUAUAAAAUUAGUUUUAUUUAAUAAUGUACAAACUUUUAUUCGAAACGGCAGCACUCUCAGUUUCUUUGGUAUUGACGACGCUGCUCGAAUUAAACAUUUUUUGAGGCUCUCCGAAUUUCUGUGAGACGGCCCAUCAUCUGCAACUAUGCAACCAGGAAUAUUGCUUUGAAGCCACUGCUGGGAGUUAUGAAUGUUCCUAUCAAAAACUGCUGACACCAUUACUAUUUGUUGCACGUGCACAAACAUCUAGCUAUGGAUACUGCAACACAAUAGACAACAGGCGUUUCAUGGAAUUGCCACAGCAGAGUAAGACGAGUAUUGGUCGGUUUAAAUUAAGUUAUGUUGUUUUGAAUAUGAUUAAUAAAAAUAAACAGAUCGCAGCUUAUUAAUUUUUAACUGGCGCCCGACCAGGGACCAGCAGUGAAAAA